RNAcentral lists this ribosomal RNA (253 nucleotides) under uncultured bacterium. RNAcentral describes it as "partial 16S ribosomal RNA". It matches the Rfam family "Bacterial small subunit ribosomal RNA", at positions 524 to 776 of the family's 1533-position model. The record is from RNAcentral.
UACGGAGGGUGCAAGCGUUGCUCGGAAUUAUUGGGCGUAAAGGGCAGGUAGGUGGUCUCAUUUGUCUGGGGUGAAAGCCUUGGGCUUAACUCAAGAAGUGCCCCAGAAACGGUGAGACUGGAGUCCUGGAGAGGGUCGUGGAAUUCCCGGUGUAGCGGUGAAAUGCGUAGAGAUCGGGAGGAACACCAGAGGCGAAAGCGGCGACCUGGACAGGCACUGACACUCAACUGCGAAAGCGUGGGGAGCAAACGGG